Molecule: long non-coding RNA, 2102 nt
Filed under: Bos taurus (domestic cattle)
Lineage: Eukaryota; Metazoa; Chordata; Mammalia; Artiodactyla; Bovidae
Description: long non-coding RNA NONBTAT022215
Source: RNAcentral
UAAUACAAUGGGAAACUAAGCUGGGGCAUUCAGAAAAAGUGACAAUCCAGGGACAGGCUAGGGGAUAACAGGUGAAGAGAGCAAACAUUCCGGUUACUGAAUGUUUGUAACCUAGUUAAGGUAUAGCCUUGAUGGCUCUUUAGCAAACUAGAAACAAUGUAGCUCUGGGUAGUUUCAUGCUUUGCAGUAUUUCUUAGACUACAAAGUAAAGCAACCUGGUAUACAGGUUGUUAAUUCACUAUAGAUCAUCAAAAUGUUUAUCUUUGAAAAUCACUUCUCUGUUUGGUGGGGUACUCUUUGGGGUCAUUUCCUUAUGCUCUUUCUUAAAUGGAGUUUUCAUUUUGAUGUUAGUUUAUGUAUAAUAGGAUGAAAGAAGAUAUGUAAUUGAAGAAAAAAUCAUUGGACUAAAAUAUCAAUAACUGAAAAUGUUUAUGGUUGAUUAUUAUUUACAUUAUGGAAAGAUGCAAUUCUAGUACUUUGUUAGGAAACUGCAUUAAAGCAGUUCUGCCUUGUAUAAUCUGUAAGUACCUAUUAAGACAAAAUACUUCUAAAGAUACUUAUGAAAUGUAUACAUAUUUUUUCUUGCACGUUACAAAGGAAAUAUUCAAUUGCAUAACACAGGUGUGCAACAGACUUUUUUUAAUGCAUUUUUUCCCUUUCAUGAUACACUUGAAACAUUAGAUAGCUCAUUUCACUCUAUCUUAAAACCCUUCUGUUGUCUAUAAAGCUAAUACGGGUCAUAUGGGACCUUUGGAUUAACUGGAUCCACAUUCCCCAAUGACAUUUGCACCACAUACAAGAUAGCCAUGUCAUCAUCAUUUAACUCGUGAGCCUCUUUAGAACUAAAAUGGGUGUGAAAGAAUAAAAUUCAGUGUACUGUAAGUAUUCGCAGUAAUUCUAGUAGAAUUAGCUAUCAUAACAUGUUUAUUAUUAUAAUGAGCUGGCAUGACACAGAAAUCUAUUUUGUGUUUGUAUGACUUUUAUUUUGAAUAGGUUAAAUCUGGUGCCACUCCAUAUAUAGAGUGCUUUUGAAAAAAAUCUAUAAAAAGAAACAAAAAAAUAAUAAAUGAGUGAAUGCAAAAUAAGCAACUGUGCCUUUUAUACCUGUUGUUAUGGUAAAAAAACGGUUGUUGGGUUUGGACAAUGAGGGGAAAUGGGCUAUUCCCAACUUUUUUGAUCCUAUAUAUUUAUCCAUGCUUAUUUUCUGUUAGCUGCUGUUUCAUUUUGGUUGUGCACUAUAUAAACCAUAUUUCUUUUCUGUACCCAAGAAGGUCAAGUGAACUUUGCAUGCAUUAUACAUUAGGACACAUUUAUAAAUUGAGUAACUAUAUCAAUUUAUGUGUAUUAAAACAUCUUUAGCUUCAGUCUAAAAUCUGAACCUCUGAGGUUCAUUCUGAACCUCCAGAUAUCAUUAUGGUUUCUGACUGGCCUGCUGCCUGUGUUUCAGAAAACAAGAGAGGCACUAUUUUUAUGGGAAGAAAAACUAAGAUGGUACUGAAGAUGUCUGGCUGAAAGGUUACCCUAGGAAGCUGUCUUAUAGGAAAAUAAAACAGAGACACCAGAAGAAACUGCCAAGAAUCAAACAGCUAUCCUAAAACAGACAUGAGAAACACGAAGACCUCAACAGUUUUAGGUAUAUUGUAUCAGCAGUAAAUAUAAGACGAGUUCUUAAGGGGGAAAAGCAAAACAAAACAGUGAAGAUGAUCAUAAAUAUUGUAAAGUUGUUAGUUGUGACCUGGCAGAGGUAGAUAUAACAUCUGGAGGAAGGCAUCAUUUUUUCAGCUACCUAGGGUUUACUUUCAGACAAUUUUCCUACAUUUUAAAGCACUUGCAUUCAGUGUGGUACGAUCUGUUUGUAAUGUUGAUCAUUGACUAUUGUUCUGCUACUUGGAUGUUGAUAGUGAAGCAGAGGACAAUUUAUCAUCAUUUCUUAUGAAUCACUAUGCACGCAACUAUGCUAAACAUGGCGAAAUGUAUUAAACACUCGUCCAACUAUUUAUGAAAUACUUUACAUAAUUUAAUUUGCUUUUGUACAGUUUUAUGUAAAUAAAUUGCUUGUCUUUUUUGUCUCUGCAAAUUAAAAUAUAACAUGGUCAAAUGGU